GGCUGUUACUGGUGCUUCUCUGAUUCCACAUUAUGGGUGAGGAAAUUGGAGUCCAGUUGGUUAAUUUGCCCAAGGUCACAAAGCUGUCAGAAUUUGAACCUAGCUAGACAUUAUCAUCUCUGUUCUUUCUUUAAUGUGUUUGUUUGCAUAUGCUAUUAACUACUUGAAAUCAAUGCUAUUUUUAGGGAAUGCAUACAGCUCACCAAAAGUUUAAAACUUGAAAGUUCCAAGACAGCCAGGGCUAUACAGAGAAACCCUGUCUCGAAAAAAAAAAAAAAAAAAAAAAAAAAAAAGAGAGAGAAAAAACGUUUGUCUUUUGAGAUAGGAUCUUACUAUGUAGCCCAGGCUGGCCUCAAACUUGUAGUCCCUGCCUUAGGCUCUUGCAUAGCUACUAUAUGACCUUGAAGCUUUCAGGAGUUGAAACACUGGCUACUGAGCUGCAGCCUGAUAGAGCUAAGUGUGUAGGAAGCAGCAGACUCCUGUUCUGGAAGUGGCCACUUAAUCUCUCCUGAGCGCCGGUUAAAAACGUUUGUCUUAGCCGGGCGUGGUGGCGCAUGCCUUUAAUCCCAGCACUCGGGAGGCAGAGGCAGGCGGAUUUCUGAGUUCUAGGCCAGCCUGGUCUACAAAGUGAGUUCCAAGACAGCCAGGGCUAUACAGAGAAACCCUGUCUCGAAAAACAAACAAACAAACAAACAAAAAAACAAACAAAAAAAAAGAGAAAAAACGUUUGUCUUUUGAGAUAGGAUCUUACUAUGUAGCCCAGGCUGGCCUCAAACUUGCAGUCCCUGCCUUAGGCUCUUGCAUGCUUGGAUUUAUAGGUGUGGCCUAUCACACCCAGUUCCUUUGCUCUACUUUCAAAGUUACUCUGAAAGAGCUUCUUUUCCUUUUGUGUUUACUUUAAGAUCAUUUCAGGUUUUUUUUUUUGCCCCAGCCUUUGUAAGGAGAACCACUCUUUUUAUGUAGAAUCACUAAUUAUUAUUUUAGUUUUUCACUUUUUACUUACUUGUGUUGGUGUGUGGGUUUGUAUCGUACCCACGGAGGCCAGAAGAAGGCAUUAGAUUUCCCUGGAACUGGUGUCAACAGGUAGUUGUAAGCUGCCUAAUAUGGUGCUGGAAAUGAAACUGGAAAUCGCUUCUGGGAGAUCAGUCUGGUCUCUUGACCACUGAGCUGUCUCUUCAGUCCAAACAGCGUUGCUGUGCUCACCUGCCCCUCCCCUCCCGUCCCCCUCCCCCUUCUCUCUGCCUUCCUCUCGACCCCUGUCCUUUCACAUUCACACGCACACUUACGUUUGCACACACAUUUCACAUGAAAAGUUGUCUUCUGAAGAUUAUGUUUAACUUGUAUCCUUUACCCUUGAAACCUUAGCAUAUGUUUUUCGUAAUAAAAACAGCCUCUUAAGUAAUUGUGGCUACAGAUAUGAUCAAGGAGUUUACUAUUGGUGCAGGAUAGUAUGCAGUCCAGGUUUGCUCUCUGUUCCAGUCGUGACUUGACUUUUCUCUUCUUAUCUUUUCUUUCCCAAAGCCUUUUGUGACUACGGGAUCUAGUCUAGUGUCACGCAGUGUAACGCAGUGUUCUUAUUAAUCCCUUUACUUUCCAUUAGUGAGUUCUUAGCCUUUCUUUGUCUCCCGGGACCCCUUGACCCCCUGACAUAUAUAAAGAGUAUCAGCUGAUUAUUUUAUAGCGUGCUAAUCACCGGGCAUUUGCAGGCGUCUUCAUCAUCUUCAGGUUUGGGUUAUAAGGUCCUGUUUAGAGCACUGGUGUAGGUAAUGUUUCUUCUGUUGUGGCUGGAGACACAAGAACACCCAGGCUUCUUAAUUUUUCCAGCUAAGGGCUUUUCUGGUAUCUUGACUUUAUAUAAUUACUAUUUUUACCCCCUGCCCAAGUCUGGGUCUGGGGGAAGAUACCUCAAGACCAUUUAGCUAGCUUUUUCACUAAAGACUUCAACAGCCAGUUGUGAAGGUUUUUUUUAUUUUUAUUUGUGUGUCUGUGAGUGUGAUUGUGUGUCUCUCUGUGCGUGUGCAGGUAAGGGUAGGUGAUCAAGGAGGCCAGAGGAAGACAUCAGAUCCCCUGGGCUUAGAGUCACACACGGUUGUGAGCCACCUGAUUUGGGAGCUGGGAAACACCCAGGAGCUCCUCACUGCUCAGGCCGUCCAUCCCUAGUCUACGAUCCAGGUCUGAACCCACCUUACCAUGCGUGGGGUGCCCUGACCGUGCUCCCCAUGUCCUCUGCCAUGUGCUCUCUUGUCCUGUUUCUUGGGACUUUGGCUAUGAGUGGGGUGCCCCUGUUCUCUGUGUCCUCUGCCAUGUGCCCUCUCAUUGUGUGUGUGUUUUGGACUCUGUUGCUCAGCACUUCACUGACUGUUCCAGGGAUGGCUAAUCUCUUCCCAGUCAGUUACGGAGUUUUGUUUUCAGAAGUUAUUUGUAGUUUUGUAGCCCUUCUCAUCCUUCAGACAAAACCAGAAUUGGAGAGACUUACGUUGUCUAUGAAAGCAUAUCUCAGCAUAUCUGUUUUGUUAAUCAUCCAAAUGUGUUAGUUUAUUGGACUUAAUGUUUUUCAUUUCUUCACUUUUAAAUGUAAAGAACUAAUUUAUCCCCCUCCCCCAACACCCUGCUUUAUUUUGGAAUAGUCUAUACUUUCAUUGCUUUUAGUUAUCAUUUAAGUUCUUUUCCUUUUUCUUUUUCUUCUCCUUCUUCUUCUUUUUUUAAAGAUUUAUUUAUUUAUUAUAUGUGAGUACACUGUAGCUGUCUUCAGAUACCCCAGAAGAGGGCGUCAGAUCUCAUUACUGAUGGUUGUGAGCCACCAUGUGGUUGCUGGGAUUUGAACUAAGGACUUUCAGAAGAGCAGUGAGUGCUCUUAACUGAAAUUAUUUUUCC
RNAcentral lists this long non-coding RNA (2874 nucleotides) under Mus musculus (house mouse). Its description in RNAcentral is "long non-coding RNA chr13:94360912-94363786". Lineage: Eukaryota; Metazoa; Chordata; Mammalia; Rodentia; Muridae. The record is from RNAcentral.